GAUGAACGCUGGCGGCGUGCCUAACACAUGCAAGUCGAACGGAAUCUUCGGAUUUAGUGGCGGACGGGUGAGUAACGCGUGAGAAUCUGCCUUUAGGUUCGGGACAACAGUUGGAAACGACUGCUAAUACCGAAUGUGUCGUAAGAUAAAAGAUUUAUCGCCUAGAGAUGAGCUCGCGUCUGAUUAGCUAGUUGGUGGGGUAAAAGCUUACCAAGGCGACGAUCAGUAGCUGGUCUGAGAGGAUGAUCAGCCACACUGGGACUGAGACACGGCCCAGACUCCUACGGGAGGCAGCAGUGGGGAAUUUUCCGCAAUGGGCGAAAGCCUGACGGAGCAACGCCGCGUGAGGGAGGAAGGCUCUUGGGUUGUAAACCUCUUUUCUCAAGGAAGAUAAUGACGGUACUUGAGGAAUCAGCAUCGGCUAACUCCG
This 430-nucleotide ribosomal RNA is filed under the name uncultured Rivularia sp. RNAcentral describes it as "bacterial SSU rRNA". It matches the Rfam family "Bacterial small subunit ribosomal RNA", at positions 28 to 505 of the family's 1533-position model. The record is from RNAcentral. Lineage: Bacteria; Bacillati; Cyanobacteriota; Cyanophyceae; Nostocales; Rivulariaceae.